AUUGAACGCUGGCGGCAUGCCUUACACAUGCAAGUCGAACGGCAGCGCGGGGGCAACCCUGGCGGCGAGUGGCGAACGGGUGAGUAAUAUAUCGGAACGUACCCAAGAGUGGGGAUAACGUAGCGAAAGUUACGCUAAUACCGCAUACGAUCUAAGGAUGAAAGCAGGGGACCGCAAGGCCUUGUGCUCCUGGAGCGGCCGAUAUCUGAUUAGCUAGUUGGUGGGGUAAAGGCCUACCAAGGCAUCGAUCAGUAGCUGGUCUGAGAGGACGACCAGCCACACUGGGACUGAGACACGGCCCAGACUCCUACGGGAGGCAGCAGUGGGGAAUUUUGGACAAUGGGGGCAACCCUGAUCCAGCAAUGCCGCGUGAGUGAAGAAGGCCU
RNAcentral lists this ribosomal RNA (386 nucleotides) under uncultured bacterium. Its description in RNAcentral is "bacterial SSU rRNA". It matches the Rfam family "Bacterial small subunit ribosomal RNA", at positions 30 to 417 of the family's 1533-position model. The record is from RNAcentral.